RNAcentral lists this ribosomal RNA (368 nucleotides) under uncultured bacterium. Its description in RNAcentral is "bacterial SSU rRNA". It matches the Rfam family "Bacterial small subunit ribosomal RNA", at positions 28 to 386 of the family's 1533-position model. The record is from RNAcentral.
GAUGAACGCUAGCGGCAGGCUUAAUACAUGCAAGUCGAACGGGAUUUAGGAGCUUGCUUCUAAUGAGAGUGGCGCACGGGUGAGUAACACGUACACAAUCUACCUUGUACAGGGGGAUAGCCUUGGGAAACUGAGAAUAAUACCCCAUAGUUUUAAUUUAUCGCAUGAUAGAUUAAAUAAAGCUGAGGCGGUACAAGAUGAGUGUGCGGAUGAUUAGGUAGUUGGUAGGGUAACGGCCUACCAAGCCGACGAUCAAUAGCUGGCGUGAGAGCGCGACCAGCCACACUGGAACUGAGACACGGUCCAGACUCCGUACGGGAGGCAGCAGGUAAGGGAAUAGUUGGAACAAGUGGGGACGGAACGCCUGA